This 809-nucleotide ribosomal RNA is filed under the name uncultured bacterium. RNAcentral's name for it is "bacterial SSU rRNA". It matches the Rfam family "Bacterial small subunit ribosomal RNA", at positions 59 to 868 of the family's 1533-position model. The record is from RNAcentral.
CAGUCGAACGAAGCACUUAAGAAUGAUUCUUCGGAUGAAUUUUUAUGUGACUUACUGUCGGACGGGUGAGUAACGCGUGGGUAACCUGCCUCACACAGGGGGAUAACAGUUGGAAACGACCGCUAAUACCGCAUAACCCGCUAGGGCCGCAUGGCCCGGACGGAAAAGAUUUAUCGGUGUGAGAUGGACCCGCGUUGGAUUAGCUAGUUGGCAGGGUAACGGCCUACCAAGGCGACGAUCCAUAGCCGGCCUGAGAGGGUGAACGGCCACAUUGGGACUGAGACACGGCCCAAACUCCUACGGGAGGCAGCAGUGGGGAAUAUUGCACAAUGGGGGAAACCCUGAUGCAGCGACGCCGCGGGAGUGAAGAAGUAUUUCGGUAUGUAAAGCUCUAUCAGCAGGGAAGAAAAUGACGGUACCUGACUAAGAAGCCCCGGCUAACUACGUGCCAGCAGCCGCGGUAAUACGUAGGGGGCAAGCGUUAUCCGGAUUUACUGGGUGUAAAGGGAGCGUAGACGGCUAAGCAAGUCAGAAGUGAAAGGCUGGGGCUCAACCCCGGGACUGCUUUUGAAACUGUUUGGCUAGAGUGCUGGAGAGGUAAGCGGAAUUCCUAGUGUAGCGGUGAAAUGCGUAGAUAUUAGGAGGAACACCAGUGGCGAAGGCGGCUUACUGGACAGUAACUGACGUUGAGGCUCGAAAGCGUGGGGAGCAAACAGGAUUAGAUACCCUGGUAGUCCACGCCGUANACGAUGAAUACUAGGUGUCGGGGAGCNCAGCUCUUCGGUGCCGCCGCAAACGCAAUAAGUAUU